RNAcentral lists this ribosomal RNA (574 nucleotides) under uncultured bacterium. RNAcentral's name for it is "bacterial SSU rRNA". It matches the Rfam family "Bacterial small subunit ribosomal RNA", at positions 382 to 984 of the family's 1533-position model. The record is from RNAcentral.
CCUGAUCCGCAUGCCGCGUGGGUGAGAAGUUUUCGGAUUGUAAACCCCUUUUGUCGGGGACGAUGAUGACGGUACCCGCAUAAUAAGCUCCGGCUAACUUCGUGCCAACAGCCGCGGUAAUACUAAGGGGGCUAGCGUUGCUCGGAAUGACUGGGCGUAAAGGGCGCGUAAGCGGACUGCACAAUCAGGCGUGAAAUUCCUGGGCUUAACCUGGGGACUGCGUCUGAAAUUGUGAUCUAGAGUGAUAAAAAGGGUCGUGGAAUUUCCAGUGUAAAGGUGAAAUUCAAUUAUAUUGGAAAGAACGCCGGUGGCAAAUGCGGCGACCUGGUCCUUUACUGACGCUGACCCCUGAAAGCUUGGGGAGCAAACAUGAUUAGAUACCCUGGUAGUCCACGCUGUAAACUAUGUGUGCUUGAUGUUGGGGUGCUUUGUCUUCAGUGUCUGAGCUAACACGGUAAGCACACCGCCUGGGAAGUACGGCCUCAAGGUUGAAACUCGUUGGAUUGACGGUUAAAAGUCUUAUGAGUUGACGGAGCUCCAUUUGAAGCACCCACAGACAAUUUGGAAAACCGGA